RNA transcript from Xenopus laevis (African clawed frog), 3768 nucleotides. It is a transcript of the gene named kaptin (actin binding protein) L homeolog, with no coding region annotated. The transcript has 13 exons. The record is from RefSeq and is a predicted model, not a curated record. Lineage: Eukaryota; Metazoa; Chordata; Amphibia; Anura; Pipidae.
UUCAAUUUAGCGGCCAUGAUGCUCGCUGGCAGUUUGCCUUGUCAUCCAUUUUUUUCUCAUGGUGACCUACCAUUGGCUUCAAAAGAUGAUGACGUCAGUCAUCUUAAAUGGCAGAUCCUUCUGCCUGUGUUUUGGGUUGUAGAAGCUUUUAAGCGUCGUCAGGCCAUGCAUAGUAGCUGUAGUUGCCCGCUGACGGAAGACACCUUUAAUCGCUUUCCGUCCCAGAGCAAUGUUUAUGGCUUGUCAGCGUUACCUUGCGGAGGCAGUGGGCACGAGCUGUUGGCUGCCACCCUGAAGGGGAAAGUUACCAGUUUCAAGUACCAGAAGCUAAGAGACAAACUGCGGGCGGCGGCCCGGGAGCUGCAUUUCACUUAUAUACCGGUUGACGCUGAGAUUGUGUCUAUUGAUUCCUUCAGCAAGUCUCCACCCAAACAAGGCCUAGUGGUUGGAAUAACUUUCAUCAAGGAUUCUGGUGAUAAGGCAAGCCCUUUCCUCAAUAUUUAUUGCGACUAUGAACCAGGAUCUGAAUACAACCUUGACUCAAUUGCACAGAGUUGCCUAAAUCUGGAGCUGAAAUUCACUCCAUUCCAGCUAUGCCACACUGAAGUGCAGGAUGGUGACAAACAGGAGACCGUGUUUUUACUGAGUGGCAAUGAUCAGUGUAUUCACCUAUACAAAGAGAAUGAAGGACUUCACCAAUUUGAAGAGCAGCCUGUGGAAAAUCUGUUUCCAGAGCUUAAAGAAAUUCCAAACAAUGUUACUUGGUUAAGUGUUUACAACAUUCCAGGUACACACAGGCGGAUUACAGCAUAUGGAUGUCAAAGUGGGUACAUCUGUGUUUCACAUGUAGAGCAAAGGAACAGAGAGAUUCUUCAGAGCUGGUUUGUGCAGCAGGAUGGACCUCUGUCCAAGGUGCUGGUUUUCUGCAUGCCAGGAUUUGGCAGAGGACAGAACCUUAAAAAGGAAUACGGUGUUUUAGUAACUAGCACCAUUGAACUUUCUGUGGUCUAUAGGAAUGUCUUAAUUAAUGGUCUUAAUGAGCAGCUGCUCCUACCAGAAAGUGACCAGUUUGACAGUGUCCUUUGUGCAGAGUUGGCUGAUGUGGAUUUUGAUGGAGAGCCAGAAAUCCUGUUGGGCACCUAUGGACAGGAGCUGCUGUGUUACAAGUAUAUUGAGGUGGGCCAUCAACGGCAAUUCACGCUGCUGUGGCAAAGGAGUUUCCCUAGCCCCUUACACUGCAUAGCAUAUGUUGACUUAACUUCUGAUGGCCUCUGUGAGCUGGCCAUUGUGUGUCUUAAAGGGCUACAUAUAUUGCAGCACAGCCUCACUCAUGCAGGUAAGUGCCUCGUUCAGCGUCUCCGGGAAAACGUCCAGUGCCUAACAGUUAUGGAAAAGUUGCAGACUGAGGAUACCAAGAUGAAUGAGGCACCAGCCACUGAGGACUGCAGCAUUCCAGACUAAGAAUAUACACAACACCCUGUUGUCUGUCUGUCACCUGCAUUUGUGCUAAAAAAAAAAAAAAAAAGUUGGAAGAACUUGGCAAUAUGUUUUUCUGCUGUGCAGAAUAAAUAGUCUUUGUAAUAAAAUUCAUCUAUUGUUAAAAGUACAACUCCUAAAACAAAUGGAAGGGGACAGUAAUCAGUUAAAGGAAAAUUUUACCACCAAAAUGAAUACCAAGUAACAGAUUAUAUCAUACUUACUGGAAUAUCUCUUACCUUGAGCCCCAUUUAGUGAUGGCAUCAUCCUGUUGGUUGCUUUUUAUUAUUAAGGACCUAGCAUCUUGUUAAAAUAUAUUCAACAGGUAAAAUACUACAAAAUAACUUGUUGAAGGCCCUCCCAAAAUGGAAUUUUGUGAGACAUUGGUUCGGAAAGGACAUAGGUUAUCCCAAACACAAAGUAGAGUAACACUGGCUAAAAAAAACAAAUCUAUGGGGUAGAUUUAUCUAAGGUCGAGGUGAAUUUUCAAAUUAAAAAAAUUCGAAUUUCAAGCUAUUUUUUGUGUACGACUAGGGCAUGGUCCAAAUUCGAUUUGAAUUUCAGAAAAUUCGAAUAUCGAAAUUUAUCGUUUACGGUCUCUUUAAAAGUUGCUGUUUUAGCCUACGAGGGACCUCCUGGAACCUAUUUGGUGGACUUUGAAAGUUUUUUUUGGGAAAAACUUUGAUUCGUAUUAGAUCGAAUGCGCUAUUACUUGGAUUCGUACGAUUCAAAUUCGGCCGUAUACGGACCUAUACGAUAGAAAAUGGACCUAUUCUGCCAGAAAAAAACUUCGACUUAAUUUCGGCAGGUCUUUUGAAAUUCGAAUUUCGAAGCUUUUCAAAUUCGAAAUUCGACCCUUUAUAAAUAUGCCCUGUAGUGUCAGUUCUUUGAAUAAAAAUAUCAGACAAUGCCAUUGUAGGAUUUGUAUUUCAAUAAAAUGAGAGAACUAGUCAAGCAGAUGAAUAAAGUUGCAAAGCAUUUUUUUCUGUAGGAUCAUUGAAGCAAGUCCGCACAAAAUUUCUUGUAAAAGGAUACAUUGUUAAUUGUUACUGAGGGAGGUAUAAUACUAUACUACGAUACUGUAGUUAUUACUUUUUUUUAGCUAUAAAUUAAUGCCAAUUUUGUGUUCAAAUAGAAAACUUUUUUUCCAUUUGCUUUCUCGCUAAACACAGUAGUCAGGAUAGCAGAUUUGUUUUUUCUGAAGUGAGUAGUUCACCUUUAAGAAAACUUUUUCGUAUUUUAUAGAAUUUUUAGUAACUUUCCAAUUGGUCUUCAUUUGUUUUUUAUUCUGCCUCGGUCUCUUUCCAGCUUUCAAAUGGGGUUACUGACCCCUCAACAUAAAAUGAUUUCUUUGUGAGGCUACUGUUAUUGCUGCUUUCAUUAGAGCCUCUCUUCUUCAUUUUCCAGUAUCACAUUCAAACUACUACCUGGUUGCUUGGGUUAAAUUAGAACCUCGCAACUGAUAUUUCAAGAUGUAGAGCUGCUAAACAAUUAAAGAAAUUAAGACCACUUGCAAAUUUUCACAGGAUAUCACUGUCUACAACAUACUUAAAGUUUAUUUAAAGGUAAACAACCCCUUUCAAAACGUUUUGGUUACAUGAGUAAAGUUCAUAAUGUCUGUUUUUUUUAAUGGGGAAAAUUAAUUCAAUGUGUCAAUGCAGAGUCUUCAAUGUGUUUUUUUUUUUUUUUUUACAACAAUUUAUUAUUAUUAUUAUUAACAUGUAUUUAUAUAGUGCCAACAUAUUUUGCAGUGCUGUAAAGUAAAUGUGUUUAUACAACAAAAUCACAUGAAUUACAUACACAGAACAUGGAGUUACAUACAGUACAUCACAACCAAUACUGGGACAAAAGAUGAGGAAGGCCCUGUGCAAAAGAGCUUACAAUCUAAAGGGAAGGGAAUAAGACACAAGGUAUGGGAGUGGGCAAGAUCAGAAUAAAGUUGGUGAGAGAUGUAGCACUGUAUGUGGAAUUGCAUUUGGUAGUCUAGCAGAGUGAGUGUAGGCUUCUCUAAAUUAGUAUGUUAAAAAUAUGGAACGCUUCACAAAUUUGCGUGUAGGAUGAACUUUUUUUUUUACCCAGAGAAUCCCAAAAUAAUUGUAGCCACCAAAAACCUAUGCAACAUUUUGGAGUAACUGCUAGGUGCAAGCAUUUUGCAAAAACUAGCUUCUCUUUGUAAACCUUACCCAUUGUCAUAAAUGGUUUGCUUUAUGGGGGGUUUAUAGAUGGGAUUUUGUUUGUCAUGUUUGAAUUAUUAUUUUAUUUAUUAUUAAAGACCAUGUAUUUUGUGCCAUA